This 492-nucleotide ribosomal RNA is filed under the name uncultured bacterium. RNAcentral's name for it is "partial 16S ribosomal RNA". It matches the Rfam family "Bacterial small subunit ribosomal RNA", at positions 29 to 507 of the family's 1533-position model. The record is from RNAcentral.
AGUGAACCCUGGCGGUAGGCCUAACACAUGCAAGUCGAACGGCAGCACAGUAAGAGCUUGCUCUUACGGGUGGCGAGUGGCGGACGGGUGAGGAAUACAUCGGAAUCUACUUUUUCGUGGGGGUUAACGUAGGGAAACUUACGCUAAUACCGCAUACGACCUACGGGUGAAAGCAGGGGAUCUUCGGACCUUGCGCGAUUGAAUGAGCCGAUGUCGGAUUAGCUAGUUGGCGGGGUAAAGGCCCACCAAGGCGACGAUCCGUAGCUGGUCUGAGAGGAUGAUCAGCCACACUGGAACUGAGACACGGUCCAGACUCCUACGGGAGGCAGCAGUGGGGAAUAUUGGACAAUGGGCGCAAGCCUGAUCCAGCCAUACCGCGUGGGUGAAGAAGGCCUUCGGGUUGUAAAGCCCUUUUGUUGGGAAAGAAAAGCAGCAGGCUAAUACCCCGCUGUUCUGACGGUACCCAAAGAAUAAGCACCGGCUAACUUCGUG